RNAcentral lists this ribosomal RNA (331 nucleotides) under uncultured bacterium. RNAcentral's name for it is "bacterial SSU rRNA". It matches the Rfam family "Bacterial small subunit ribosomal RNA", at positions 28 to 334 of the family's 1533-position model. The record is from RNAcentral.
GAUGAACGCUGGCGGCGUGCUUAACACAUGCAAGUCGAACGGAGUGCUCAUGACGGAGGAUUCGUCCAACGGAUUGAGUUACUUAGUGGCGGACGGGUGAGUAACACGUGGGGAACCUGCCCCUAAGUCUGGGAUACCAUUUGGAAACAGGUGCUAAUACCGGAUAAUAAAGCAGAUCGCAUGAUCAGCUUUUGAAAGGCGGCGUAAGCUGUCGCUAAGGGAUGGCCCCGCGGUGCAUUAGCUAGUUGGUAAGGUAACGGCUUACCAAGGCGACGAUGCAUAGCCGAGUUGAGAGACUGAUCGGCCACAUUGGGACUGAGACACGGCCCAA